GCACAAGCGGUGGAGCAUGUGGUUUAAUUCGACGCAACGUGAAGAACCUUACCUGGGCUCGAAAUGUAGUGGAUCGGGGUAGAAAUAUCCCUUCCUAGCAAUAGACCGCUAUAUAGGUGCUGCAUGGCUGUCGUCAGCUCGUGUCGUGAGAUGUUGGGUUAAGUCCCGCAACGAGCGCAACCCUUAUUACCAGUUGCUACCAUUUAGUUGAGCACUCUGGUGAGACUGCCUCGGAUAACGGGGAGGAAGGCGGGGAUGACGUCAAGUCCUCAUGGCCUUUAUGUCCAGGGCUACACACGUGCUACAAUGGCGGUGACAGUGGGCAGCUACUUCGCGAGGAGCGGCUAAUCCCAAAAAACCGUCCCAGUUCAGAUUGUACUCUGCAACUCGAGUACAUGAAGGUGGAAUCGCUAGUAAUCGCAGAACAGCAGGCUGCGGUGAAUACGUUCCCGGGC
This 455-nucleotide ribosomal RNA is filed under the name uncultured bacterium. RNAcentral's name for it is "bacterial SSU rRNA". It matches the Rfam family "Bacterial small subunit ribosomal RNA", at positions 923 to 1379 of the family's 1533-position model. The record is from RNAcentral.